AUGAAACAACAGCAAUGCUGUCAAGGAAAUUCACCUCUCUGGAGGCAGAACCGAUUCAUGUCAUCAUUAAAUAUCCAGUAAAUUCAGUCCUGAGAUAUGUUUUCCUGCCACUGAUUCUGCUGCUGGCAAACGUUGGCCUUCAUUUCUACUUCAAGGUCACCACAAGGCAGAAUUCAAAGCAAAAGGAGAACACAGAGAUGCUUGUUUUCAGAGCAGAAGGAGCGACUGAUGAGGAGGAAGAGGCUGGGGGAACAGAGAAAGACCUCAGACGAUUUCAUCACUUCAGCCAGACUUAAAAUCAGCUGGUGUGAUUAGAGCCUUAAUAGGCUUUUGAAGCUUCAUGCAUAUCAAAUAACAAACAUUCUGGGAGUUACAUUCUCAUAGUAUAGCACUCACAGAUAGUACACAAAAACUUUAAUAUUGCUGACAUUGAGGAAAACCAACAGCAUUCAAAACUUCAUCUCCCACUGGUCCUUAGCUAUACCAAGUUCCCCUGCUUUAACUAUGAUGACUGUGACUCAGGUCUUCUAAUUGGAAGUUCAGUGGUUUAAACCCUGGUUCCUCCAGUUUGCACCACAGAGUCUCCUUUAGCAAGAUAUUGAACCCCAUAUUUACCAAAUAUAUCCACAGGGGUGUGUGUGGGGGGGUUAGUGAGGGUUGUUGUAGUAAGUGAUUCGGAUGCUGAAAUAGAAUAAACAAGUGCUACAUAACCACCAAUCUAUUUAACUUAAUUAGCGAGACCACAAUGUGGUAAAGUAGUUAAUAUCAUGCAUAAAACUAGCCUUGAUUCAGCUCUCCAGACCUGAUAAAGGAUACUUCAGGAAAUAGUAACGAGUAGUGGCUACUAUCAGUCCAUCUCAAUAUCUCUACCCCUUGUAUCAUUACACACACACACACACACACACACACACACACACACACU
Molecule: long non-coding RNA, 922 nt
Organism: Pelmatolapia mariae (spotted tilapia)
Lineage: Eukaryota; Metazoa; Chordata; Actinopteri; Cichliformes; Cichlidae
Exons: 3
Source: RefSeq, a predicted model, not a curated record